AUGGCGGACUUCCUCCUCCUCGCCUGCCACCUCCUCCUCUCCCUCGCCCUCCUCGCCGCCUCCCUCUCCCACCUCCUCCUCGCCGCCGUCUCCCACUCCCCCCACCUCCACCUCCCCCUCCUCCGCUCCCUCCGCCACCCGCUCCUCCGCCUCCUCCCCGCCCUCCUCGCCCUCCCCUUCCCCUUCCUCCCCGUGGGCCCCACCGGCCUCCUCCUCCUCCCCCCUCUCCUCCUCCCUCUCCCGCUCCCCUUCCUCCCCCACCUCCUCCUCCCGCUCCGCCCGCUCCUCCUCUCCCUCCCGCUCCUCCUCCUCGCCCGCGCCGCCGCGCUCCUCGCGGGAUCGUUCCCGCCCUCCGACCUCCAGGCCCACGCGCUCUCCGUCGCGGCGCUGCUCCUCCUCGCCGCCGCGGUGGCCUCGCUCGCCGCCGCGCUGGCCCCGCCGGGGACGGCCCACCACCUCCUCGCCGAGACGGCGCUCGCCUGCGCCGGCGCCGUGGGGGCGCUCUGGGCGGCCUACAGCGGCCUCGUCCUCUACGUCGACUCCUGCGUCCCCGCCGGGUGCCACCGCCUGAUGGACGCCGCGGCGGCGCCCGCCACGCGCUGCGACGUCGAGGUGGCCAGGCUGCGGGCCGUGGCGCUCAUGGACCUCGCGCUUUCCGUGCAUUGCGUGCUCGUGGCGGCCGUCGCGGUGGGGGUGUACCUCGGGGUGGCGAGGUGGUGCGGGGUGGACGGCGGCGGGGGCGCCGGGGUGGGGAUGGGGAGGAGACAUAACGGCGUCGGUGGAUCAUACGAUGCGCUGCCCACUGUUACGUCUGCCGGCGCAAUUGCGGAGAUGGAGCAUUUGCCGAUGAAGGCCGUCGUCGGCAAGAGCGUGGCGCAGGAAUAAAGAAUGCGAUGUGCUUGAUUAACUAGGUUUGAAACUAUUUUCAUCAAAUGUGCACAAUGUGCCACCGCUAUCCAACUGAUAUAUGGAUCUAGGGUCCACGUCAGCCUAACAAUGUGUGGCAUAUUGUUGAUAUGGAUGAAAUUCAAUUGCUUGAACGGAGUAUUUUUGACAAAAGGCAGAAUAAGUCAAAUGCUAUGCCGGUGACUCAUGAUGAUACUAGGUGUAUGAACUCACAAGUGCUACAAAAUAAGCCUGAUGAAAUUCUACUGAUUAGAAGGACAGGAACUUAGAAUGGCUCUGAAAGAAAGGAUUAUUUAGAAUAUCACACCAUAACGCUGCAGGGAUCUGCUAUACGCUUCUCAAAGAUAUGGCAGACAGCAAAAGAAACCCUCAAGAGAUAAUGACACUGACAAGUAACCACUAAUCGUACUAAUUGUGCUCCAAAUCUUAGCAUUUUAAGGAUCUAUCACUUAGUGCUACUUUGUAUUGAAUGAAGCCUUUGGCUUCUCUUGUGUCCAAAGGGUCACUUGUAACUGUAAUGUGAUGAUAGAUCGAUAUUUUGGUAAGAUUAUAUUGUCAAUUGUUGUACCAAAAUAUGGAGUUCUCCCUUGAUUGAACACUGUUAGCGCAUUUCUAUGUGGUUAGAUUUUUGCAGGCAAGAUGGUCAAACUACGCUAGGUUUAAUAUAACAGUGUAACCGCACCAGUGCAUGAACUGUAUAAUUUUCUUACUUUAUAAUGUCCUGUGUGGUGACUUGUAAGAACUGGGAACAUCAUCUUUUUUUUUUUUAGUGUUGCAUCUCCCAUAAGGUUAGCCGCAGUACUCCACUGUCCACUCAACAUGUAAGAACUUGUGCUGACAUGCAAAUUGUCUUAUAUAUGGUUGACCUAUUUGUUAUUUAAAACAUGUAACAAUUAUACACAUCGUUACAAAUCUGUUAACUAGUGUGUAACAUUCUUAUAGGUGACAUUUGUUUAUUGGCAUUACUGCUGAUGUUUAUAAUUGCAGGUGGGAAUCAAUUGUAACCAUGAGUUGGACCGAUUGUUAGGCACAGUCACAAACCAUUGCCCAAAAACUCAUGAAGGAAAGAUACAAUUGUACUAUAUGUAGAACUAUCGUUACACAGGAGGGCCAACAGGUACCCAAGUUUUGCUGCUCAUGGAUCUGCAUGGCAUUGCACCAAGUAGCUCUGCUUUCUUCUGUUAGAAAGUUGAUCAUGAUCAGUAUCAAUGGUAGGUGCAUUACAGUACCAUUGUGUCAGUUUGCUAAUUAGUGCUAAGAUUUCUAGCCAAAAUGCAUUAGAACUUAGUCAUUCAGCCCAGCUUAAUUUGUACAUACAUAUGGGUGCUUGCUGAACUGCAUGCCAGCAAGCAUACUUCGAACUUAUCAUUGGAUAAAUAAACAAAUUGUGCAGGCAACAACUCUAUUAGUUAUUUAUUUUUAGUCCAUAACCCAGCGAAGUGUUUUCUUGGUUCAUGUUGUCUCUUGUUUUGGGCUUUUUGCUAUGUGUAUUCAAAGAUGUGGAAAUGUAAGUUGAAGUGGCACAUCAGGAUUAUGUAUCUAUGUCAA
RNA transcript from Oryza brachyantha (malo sina), 2454 nucleotides. RefSeq lists it as uncharacterized. The record is from RefSeq and is a predicted model, not a curated record. The transcript is spliced from 4 exons. NCBI's taxonomy places the organism in Eukaryota, Viridiplantae, Streptophyta, Magnoliopsida, Poales, Poaceae.